This 414-nucleotide ribosomal RNA is filed under the name uncultured bacterium. RNAcentral describes it as "bacterial SSU rRNA". It matches the Rfam family "Bacterial small subunit ribosomal RNA", at positions 945 to 1359 of the family's 1533-position model. The record is from RNAcentral.
UUUAAUUCGACGCAACGCGAAGAACCUUACCUGGGUUUGACAUGUGCAGGAUCGGUGAUGAAAGUCACUCUCCCUUCGGGGCCUGUGCACAGGUGCUGCAUGGCUGUCGUCAGCUCGUGUCGUGAGAUGUUGGGUUAAGUCCCGCAACGAGCGCAACCCUUGCCCUCUGUUGCUACCGGGUCAUGCCGGGCACUCUGGGGGGACUGCCCCGGUGAACGGGGAGGAAGGUGGGGAUGACGUCAAGUCCUCAUGGCCUUUAUGUCCAGGGCUACACACGUGCUACAAUGGUCAGGACAAUGGGUCGCUCCCGCGUAAGCGGUUGCCAAUCUCAAAAACCUGGCCCUAGUUCGGAUGGUCGGCUGCAACUCGCCGGCCUGAAGCUGGAAUCGCUAGUAAUCGGAGAUCAGCACGCUC